CUCGCUCAGAUGACAACGAGUCCGAGCGGGGGAUUACCCCCAAAUGAAAACUCAAUGAAGACAGGCCAUUGCACCUUAGAAGAUAGAAUGUGGAAUGCUUCUGUUGAGUGAGUGCUGAUUGAAGCGAGACAGGAACAUACAGUGAAUCGCCAGUAGUUCCGUAGCGACUCUUUAUUCAAUCAGUCAUAUUGCUGAGGAAG
RNAcentral lists this ribosomal RNA (200 nucleotides) under uncultured eukaryote. Its description in RNAcentral is "partial 18S ribosomal RNA". The record is from RNAcentral.